UAGGGAAUAUUGGACAAUGGGCGAAAGCCUGAUCCAGCAACGCCGCGUGUGCGAUGACGGCCUUCGGGUUGUAAAGCACUUUUAGGGGAGAUGAGAAAGGACAGUAUCCCCUGAAUAAGCCUCGGCGAACUACGUGCCAGCAGCCGCGGUAAAACGUAGGAGGCUAGCGUUAUCCGGAUUUAUUGGGCGUAAAGCGCGUGCAGGCGGUUUAGCAAGUUAGAUGUGAAAGCUCCUGGCUUAACUGGGAGAGGUCGUUCAAAACUGCUAGACUAGAGAAUGGGAGAGGGAGGUGGAAUUCCGGGUGUAGUGGUGAAAUGCGUAGAUAUCCGGAGGAACACCAGUGGCGAAAGCGGCCUCCUGGACCACUUCUGACGCUAAGACGCGAAAGCUAGGGUAGCAAACGG
This 404-nucleotide ribosomal RNA is filed under the name uncultured bacterium. RNAcentral describes it as "bacterial SSU rRNA". It matches the Rfam family "Bacterial small subunit ribosomal RNA", at positions 355 to 775 of the family's 1533-position model. The record is from RNAcentral.